UCAGCUUUGGUGCAGUAGGUAGCCCAUCAGUCUUGAAAGCUGAAGAUCCUGAGUUUGAUCCUCUGAAGGAGAA
Monodelphis domestica (gray short-tailed opossum) is the source of this 73-nucleotide transfer RNA. It matches the Rfam family "tRNA". From Rfam's summary of the family: Transfer RNA (tRNA) molecules are approximately 80 nucleotides in length. Their secondary structure includes four short double-helical elements and three loops (D, anti-codon, and T loops). Further hydrogen bonds mediate the characteristic L-shaped molecular structure. tRNAs have two regions of fundamental functional importance: the anti-codon, which is responsible for specific mRNA codon recognition, and the 3' end, to which the tRNAs corresponding amino acid is attached (by aminoacyl-tRNA synthetases). tRNAs cope with the degeneracy of the genetic code in two manners: having more than one tRNA (with a specific anti-codon) for a particular amino acid; and 'wobble' base-pairing, i.e. permitting non-standard base-pairing at the 3rd anti-codon position. The record is from Rfam. NCBI's taxonomy places the organism in Eukaryota, Metazoa, Chordata, Mammalia, Didelphimorphia, Didelphidae.